Molecule: unclassified non-coding RNA, 327 nt
Filed under: uncultured bacterium
Lineage: Bacteria
Description: contains 16S-23S intergenic spacer region
Source: RNAcentral
UCCGGUUUGUCACCGGCAGUCUCGCAUGAGUCCCCAACUAAAUGCUGGCAACAUGCGACGGGGGUUGCGCUCGUUGCGGGACUUAACCCAACAUCUCACGACACGAGCUGACGACAGCCAUGCAACACCUGUGUAGGGCCCUUGCGGACACCGUGUCUCCACGGCUUUUCCCUACAUGUCAAGCCCUGGUAAGGUUCUUCGCGUCGCGUCGAAUUAAGCAACAUGCUCCGCCGCUUGUGCAGGCCCCCGUCAAUUUCUUUGAGUUUUAACCUUGCGGCCGUACUCCCCAGGCGGAGGAAGGUGGGGAUGACGUUGUGGAAGCAAGCU